This 433-nucleotide ribosomal RNA is filed under the name uncultured bacterium. RNAcentral describes it as "partial 16S ribosomal RNA". It matches the Rfam family "Bacterial small subunit ribosomal RNA", at positions 29 to 507 of the family's 1533-position model. The record is from RNAcentral.
AACGAACGCUGGCGGCAUGCCUAACACAUGCAAGUCGAACGAGACCUUCGGGUCUAGUGGCGCACGGGUGCGUAACGCGUGGGAACCUGCCCUUAGGUUCGGAAUAACUCCCCGAAAGGGGUGCUAAUACCGGAUAAUGUCUUCGGACCAAAGAUUUAUCGCCUUUGGAUGGGCCCGCGUUGGAUUAGCUAGUUGGUAGGGUAAAAGCCUACCAAGGCGACGAUCCAUAGCUGGUCUGAGAGGAUGAUCAGCCACACUGGGACUGAGACACGGCCCAGACACCGCGGGGGGGCGGAGGUGGGAAUUUUUGAAAAGUGGGAAAAGGCUUGAUACAGAAAUGCCGGGGGGGGAAGGAGGGCUUAGGGGUUGAAAGCUUUUUUCCCCGGGGAUAAAAAGAAGAGAAGGGGAAAAAAAACCCCGGGCAAACCCGGUC